UACGCAGGGGGCUAGCGUUGUCCGGAAUCAUUGGGCGUAAAGCGCGUGUAGGCGGUUCGGUAAGUCCGCUGUGAAAGUCGGGGGCUCAACCCUCGGAUGCCGGUGGAUACUGUCGGACUAGAGUACGGAAGAGGCGAGUGGAAUUCCUGGUGUAGCGGUGAAAUGCGUAGAUAUCAAGAGGAACACCUGAGGUGAAGACGGGUUGCUGGGCUGACACUGACGCUGAGGCGCGAAAGCCAGGGGAGCAAACGGG
Molecule: ribosomal RNA, 253 nt
Filed under: uncultured bacterium
Lineage: Bacteria
Description: partial 16S ribosomal RNA
Rfam family: Bacterial small subunit ribosomal RNA
Source: RNAcentral